Molecule: ribosomal RNA, 92 nt
Filed under: Anopheles maculipennis
Lineage: Eukaryota; Metazoa; Arthropoda; Insecta; Diptera; Culicidae
Description: partial 5.8S ribosomal RNA
Source: RNAcentral
UGUGAACUGCAGGACACAUGAACACCGAUAAGUUGAACGCAUAUUGCGCAUCUGUGAACUGCAGGACACAUGAACACCGAUAAGUUGAACGC